Molecule: microRNA precursor, 82 nt
Filed under: Oryza sativa (Asian cultivated rice)
Lineage: Eukaryota; Viridiplantae; Streptophyta; Magnoliopsida; Poales; Poaceae
Description: miR6249a stem-loop (osa-MIR6249a, osa-MIR6249b)
Source: miRBase by way of RNAcentral
CCAUCCCGCGCGUGAAGAGCUCGCCGGCGGCCAUGGCCAUCUCCACCGCCGCGCCGAUGCUGCCUUGCCGACGGCGAUUGGG